RNAcentral lists this small nuclear RNA (111 nucleotides) under Amborella trichopoda. The record is from RNAcentral. Lineage: Eukaryota; Viridiplantae; Streptophyta; Magnoliopsida; Amborellales; Amborellaceae.
UUUUGAACCAUUAAAAACACAACUUUCUCCCAAAUAUAAGGAGAGAGAGAAGAUUAGCAUGGCCCCUGCAUAAGGAUGACACGCACAAAUCGAAAAAUGGGGCAACUUUUU